UACGAAGGGUUCAAGCGUUACUCGGAAUUACUGGGCGUAAAGGGUGCGUAGGUGGUUUGUUAAGUCUGCUGUGAAAUCCCCGGGCUCAACCUGGGAAUGGCAGUGGAUACUGGCAAGCUAGAGUCCGGAAGAGGAGAGUGGAAUUCCUGGUGUAGCGGUGAAAUGCGCAGAUAUCAGGAAGAACACCCGUGGCGAAGGCGGCUCUCUGGUACGUGACUGACGCUGAGACGCGAAAGCGUGGGGAGCGAACAGG
RNAcentral lists this ribosomal RNA (253 nucleotides) under uncultured bacterium. RNAcentral's name for it is "partial 16S ribosomal RNA". It matches the Rfam family "Bacterial small subunit ribosomal RNA", at positions 524 to 776 of the family's 1533-position model. The record is from RNAcentral.